RNAcentral lists this ribosomal RNA (104 nucleotides) under Stenella coeruleoalba (striped dolphin). RNAcentral describes it as "partial small subunit ribosomal RNA". The record is from RNAcentral. Lineage: Eukaryota; Metazoa; Chordata; Mammalia; Artiodactyla; Delphinidae.
UUAGUCGUAAACUUAAAUAAUCCUAAAACAAGAUUAUUCGCCAGAGUACUAUCGGCAACAGCCCAAAACUCAAAGGACUUGGCGGUGCUUCAUAUCCUUCUAGA